CCAGAGGAUCGGCCCGCGUUAGAUUAGCUAGUUGGUGAGGUAAUGGCUCACCAAGGCUACGAUCAUAGCUGGUCUGAGAGGAUGAUCAGCCACACUGGGACUGAGACACGGCCCAGACUCCUACGGGAGGCAGCAGUGGGGAAUAUUGGACAAUGGGCGCAAGCCUGAUCCAGCCAUGCCGCGUGAAGGAUGACGGUCCU
Molecule: ribosomal RNA, 200 nt
Filed under: Aeromonas salmonicida subsp. salmonicida 01-B526
Lineage: Bacteria; Pseudomonadati; Pseudomonadota; Gammaproteobacteria; Aeromonadales; Aeromonadaceae
Description: partial 16S ribosomal RNA
Rfam family: Bacterial small subunit ribosomal RNA
Source: RNAcentral